RNAcentral lists this ribosomal RNA (429 nucleotides) under Gemmatimonadota bacterium. Its description in RNAcentral is "Gemmatimonadetes bacterium partial 16S ribosomal RNA". It matches the Rfam family "Bacterial small subunit ribosomal RNA", at positions 355 to 776 of the family's 1533-position model. The record is from RNAcentral. Lineage: Bacteria; Pseudomonadati; Gemmatimonadota.
UAGGGAAUCUUCGGCAAUGGACGAAAGUCUGACCGAGCAACGCUGCGUGAGUGAAGAAGGUUUUCGGAUCGUAAAACUCUGUUGUUAGAGAAGAACAAGGACGUUAGUAACUGAACGUCCCCUGACGGUAUCUAACCAGAAAGCCACGGCUAACUACGUGCCAGCAGCCGCGGUAAUACGUAGGUGGCAAGCGUUGUCCGGAUUUAUUGGGCGUAAAGCGAGCGCAGGCGGUUUCUUAAGUCUGAUGUGAAAGCCCCCGGCUCAACCGGGGAGGGUCAUUGGAAACUGAGAUAUGUGAGUGCAGAAGAGGAGAGUGGAAUUCCAUGUGUAGCGGUGAAAUGCGUAGAUAUAUGGAGGAACACCAGUGGCGAAGGCGGCUCUCUGGUCUGUAACUGACGCUGAGGCUCGAAAGCGUGGGGAGCAAACAGG